AUAGAGCGUUUUGAUCGGGAAAGGCCACUGAGAGGCCGUGGGGGAGGAAGAGGUGGACUGCAGGGCAGAGGCAGAGGUGGUGGUAUGAACAGGACCUUCAAUGGCUUUGAUCAAAGAGGGAAGCGGGAAUUUGACCGGCAGAGCGGGAGUGACAAAACAGGAGUCCGUCCAGAAGAUAAAAGGGGUGGAAGUGGACCACGUAACUGGGGAACUGCUAAGGAUGAUAUGAGUGAGCUGGAACAGACUCCUAUGGAAGAGACUGCAGAAACAGAAGAGAGCCCAGGAGCACCUGAUGGAGAGCCUCCAAAGAA
This is a long non-coding RNA of Protobothrops mucrosquamatus (brown spotted pit viper), 311 nucleotides long. RefSeq lists it as uncharacterized. The transcript is spliced from 3 exons. The record is from RefSeq and is a predicted model, not a curated record. NCBI's taxonomy places the organism in Eukaryota, Metazoa, Chordata, Lepidosauria, Squamata, Viperidae.